AGGCCUAUUAGCUCAGUUGGUUA
Molecule: non-coding RNA, 23 nt
Filed under: Arabidopsis thaliana (thale cress)
Lineage: Eukaryota; Viridiplantae; Streptophyta; Magnoliopsida; Brassicales; Brassicaceae
Source: RNAcentral